RNAcentral lists this long non-coding RNA (206 nucleotides) under Panax ginseng (ginseng). RNAcentral's name for it is "long non-coding RNA (PGIN_LNC007757)". The record is from RNAcentral. Lineage: Eukaryota; Viridiplantae; Streptophyta; Magnoliopsida; Apiales; Araliaceae.
UUGGUGAUUUUUAUUAAAUAAUUCCUCGUGGGAACGAUACUCUACUUUCACUUUAUUACUUGUUGACCGUGUAUACUUGCACGUAUUCAUUGAUUGUGAAAUCGAUCAACAAGUUUUUGGCGCCGCUGCCGGGGAAUAAAGACUUAUUACAUAAUCUUACUCAAGCUUAAACAUUGUCUGAAAAUAGUCUUAAUACAACAUAAUAG